AUUGAACGCUGGCGGCAGGCCUAACACAUGCAAGUCGAACGGCAGCGGGGGAUAGCUUGCUAUCCUGCCGGCGAGUGGCGGACGGGUGAGUAAUGCAUGGGGAGCUGCCCAAUCGAGGGGGAUAACAACUGGAAACGGUUGCUAAUACCGCAUACGCCCUGCGGGGGAAAGGUGGGGACCUACGGGCCUACCGCGAUUGGAUGCACCCAUGUGGGAUUAGCUGGUUGGUGAGGUAACGGCCCACCAAGGCGACGAUCUCUAGCUGGUCUGAGAGGAUGACCAGCCACACUGGAACUGAGACACGGUCCAGACUCCUACGGGAGGCAGCAGUGGGGAAUACUGCACAAUGGGGGAAACCCUGAUGCAGCCAUGCCGCGUGUGUGAAGAAGGCCUUCGGGUUGUAAAGCACUUUCAGUGGGGAGGAAGGGGAGUAAGCUAAUAACUUGCUUCAUUGACGUUACCCACAGAAGAAGCACCGGCUAACUCCGUGCCAGCCGCCGCCGUAA
Molecule: ribosomal RNA, 506 nt
Filed under: uncultured bacterium
Lineage: Bacteria
Description: partial 16S ribosomal RNA
Rfam family: Bacterial small subunit ribosomal RNA
Source: RNAcentral